GGUAGCCGGCCUGAGAGGGCGACCGGCCACACUGGGACUGAGACACGGCCCAGACUCCUACGGGAGGCAGCAGUGGGGAAUAUUGCACAAUGGGCGGAAGCCUGAUGCAGCGACGCCGCGUGAGGGAUGACGGCCUUCGGGUUGUAAACCUCUUUCAGCAGGGACGAAGCGCAAGUGACGGUACCUGCAGAAGAAGCGCCGGCCAACUACGUGCCAGCAGCCGCGGUAAGACGUAGGGCGCGAGCGUUGUCCGGAUUUAUUGGGCGUAAAGAGCUCGUAGGCGGCUUGUCGCGUCGACUGUGAAAACCCACAGCUCAACUGUGGGCUUGCAGGCGAUACGGGCAGGCUAGAGUUCGGUAGGGGAGACUGGAAUUCCUGGUGUAGCGGUGAAAUGCGCAGAUAUCAGGAGGAACACCGGUGGCGAAGGCGGGUCUCUGGGCCGAUACUGACGCUGAGGAGCGAAAGCGUGGGGAGCGAACAGGAUUAGAUACCCUGGUAGUCCACGCUGUAAACGUUGGGCGCUAGGUGUGGGGGACCUCUCCGGUUCUCUGUGCCGCAGCUAACGCAUUAAGCGCCCCGCCUGGGGAGUACGGA
Molecule: ribosomal RNA, 594 nt
Filed under: Micromonospora sp.
Lineage: Bacteria; Bacillati; Actinomycetota; Actinomycetes; Micromonosporales; Micromonosporaceae
Description: bacterial SSU rRNA
Rfam family: Bacterial small subunit ribosomal RNA
Source: RNAcentral